RNAcentral lists this ribosomal RNA (410 nucleotides) under uncultured soil bacterium. RNAcentral's name for it is "bacterial SSU rRNA". It matches the Rfam family "Bacterial small subunit ribosomal RNA", at positions 509 to 916 of the family's 1533-position model. The record is from RNAcentral.
CAGCCGCCGCGGUAAUACGUAGGGUGCAAGCGUUGUCCGGAAUUAUUGGGCGUAAAGAGCUCGUAGGCGGUUUGUUGCGUCGGCUGUGAAAUCCCGAGGCUCAACCUCGGGUCUGCAGUCGAUACGAGCAAACUAGAGUGUUGCAGGGGAGACUGGAAUUCCUGGUGUAGCGGUGAAAUGCGCAGAUAUCAGGAGGAACACCGGUGGCGAAGGCGGGUCUCUGGGCAACAACUGACGCUGAGGAGCGAAAGCGUGGGGAGCGAACAGGAUUAGAUACCCUGGUAGUCCACGCCGUAAACGUUGGGCGCUAGGUGUGGGGCUCAUUCCACGAGUUCCGUGCCGCAGCUAACGCAUUAAGCGCCCCGCCUGGGGAGUACGGCCGCAAGGCUAAAACUCAAAUGAAUUGACGG